RNAcentral lists this ribosomal RNA (253 nucleotides) under uncultured bacterium. RNAcentral's name for it is "partial 16S ribosomal RNA". It matches the Rfam family "Bacterial small subunit ribosomal RNA", at positions 524 to 776 of the family's 1533-position model. The record is from RNAcentral.
UACGUAGGGACCAAGCGUUGUCCGGAAUUAUUGGGCGUAAAGGGCUCGUAGGCGGUUUGUCGCGUCGGGAGUGAAAACCUUGGGCUUAACUCAGGGCUUGCUUUCGAUACGGGCAGACUAGAGGUAUGCAGGGGAGAACGGAAUUCCUGGUGUAGCGGUGAAAUGCGCAGAUAUCAGGAGGAACACCGGUGGCGAAGGCGGUUCUCUGGGCAUGAUCUGACGCUGAGGAGCGAAAGUGUGGGGAGCGAACAGG